This 1135-nucleotide long non-coding RNA is filed under the name Homo sapiens (human). RNAcentral's name for it is "long non-coding RNA NONHSAT161027". Lineage: Eukaryota; Metazoa; Chordata; Mammalia; Primates; Hominidae. The record is from RNAcentral.
CUUAUUUAUUUGUCAAUAUCAAAAGUUGAUCUGUCAAGAAUUAGAAUUUUGGAAAGCUUUCAUCAACAGCUAUGUGACUUAUACAAAUAUGAUAGAUGAACAUUGGGACCUAUGAGUUUGAAUGAGAUCCCCAAGCAGAUAGAAAAGAAGAGGGUUGUGAAAGCGUCCUAGAGGAUGGAGAGGGAAAAGAAAAAGCAGAAAGAGAUUAAAGAUGAGCAGUCAGGGAAGUAGAAGAAGAACCAAAAUAGAGUCAUGGAAGGCAAGAGAGGAAAGAAAUCAAUAACACCAAAGGCUGCAGAGAGCAACCACCAUUUGUCUACACAGAGGACUUGGCCAACAGAGCCUGAAAGGCAGUAAAUGCUGGGUUCUGUUUUUGAGAAAUGCUGAGACAUCUGGCUGGUAGGCCCAAAAGGGAUGUGAGACGGUGGCCUGUUGAAGAAGCAGGAGCAUGGGAGACCCAGCUUGCUCGUUGGUCUUUGUGGAUGAUAGCUCAGGCAAGAUCCAGAACUGAGAUCAGACUUCAGAUCUUCUUGUUUCCGGCCCAGGACUCGAUUCUUAUUGCGUUUCAGAGCUGUGUCUCUUGCUUCUAAUAUUUGAAACAGAUGUUGUGAAAUCUAUAAUUUCCAGCUUUGAAAUGAAUUAAUAUGUUAACCUCCUACUUCUCAGAUGCAUUCUGAAGAAAUAGUACUAAGUGUGACACAAGGUUAGAACAUCAAAAUAUGUAAUCCAACUAACCUGGACCUGCUUCUGCUCUAAGGUUCCUCCAGCAAGGGGUCACAAAUAUUAAUACAAUGUAACUCUGACUCCCAAAAGCCUUUGUGACUAAGUACUUAGGUUCUCACUGAAAACCUCUACUGAGUUCUCUUGAAAGGGUCCCAAGGAAAGGUUUCACAGGCGCUUCUCAAACCAUUGGUGCUGAAGGAGCAGGAUUUCGAAAUCUCCAAUCCAUCACGGACUGAUGCUUUUGUAAAAUGCAAUCAAAGUGGAUAAUUUGAAAAAAACUAAAUGAAUAUAUAAUACAAGUCCAAUAUUUAUGGCUAGAUACAACAAAUAUAAAAUUAAAUUUCAAUAAAUAUUAUCAGAACUAGUGUAACAUAGGAGAUUUUAAAACUGCAGAAACUAUACACUUUGAAAU